AUUGAACGCUGGCGGCAGGCUUAACACAUGCAAGUCGAGCGGGGUGAUGGUGCUUGCACUAUCACUUAGCGGCGGACGGGUGAGUAAUGCUUAGGAAUCUGCCUAUUAGUGGGGGACAACAUCUCGAAAGGGAUGCUAAUACCGCAUACGUCCUACGGGAGAAAGCAGGGGAUCACUUGUGACCUUGCGCUAAUAGAUGAGCCUAAGUCGGAUUAGCUAGUUGGUGGGGUAAAGGCCUACCAAGGCGACGAUCUGUAGCGGGUCUGAGAGGAUGAGCCGACGCACGGGGACUGAUACACGGCCCAGACUCCUACGGGAGGCAGCAGUGGGGAAUAUUGGACAAUGGGGGGAACCCUGAUCCAGCCAUGCCGCGUGUGUGAAGAAGGCCUUAUGGUUGUAAAGCACUUUAAGCGAGGAGGAGGCUCUUUUGGUUAAUACCCAAGAUGAGUGGACGUUACUCGCAGAAUAAGCACCGGCUAACUCUGUGCCAGCCGCCGCCGUAA
Molecule: ribosomal RNA, 503 nt
Filed under: uncultured bacterium
Lineage: Bacteria
Description: partial 16S ribosomal RNA
Rfam family: Bacterial small subunit ribosomal RNA
Source: RNAcentral